RNAcentral lists this small nucleolar RNA (205 nucleotides) under Sorex araneus (European shrew). RNAcentral describes it as "Small nucleolar RNA U3 (ENSSARG00000015637.1)". It matches the Rfam family "Small nucleolar RNA U3". Rfam says of the family: Small nucleolar RNAs (snoRNAs) are involved in the processing and modification of rRNA in the nucleolus. There are two main classes of snoRNAs: the box C/D class, and the box H/ACA class. U3 snoRNA is a member of the box C/D class. The record is from RNAcentral. Lineage: Eukaryota; Metazoa; Chordata; Mammalia; Eulipotyphla; Soricidae.
AAGGAUAUACUUUCAGGGAUCAUUUCUACAGUUCAUUACUAGAGAAGUUUCUCUCAUUCUGUAGAGCACCUGAAAACAAGAGAGGAGCCAGAAGAUCAUCUCCUGAGCAUGAAACCUAUUCUAAGUGUUGCUUUUGCGGCUGCCUUUGACCACUGAUGAUCAUUCUUCUCUUCCCUAGGAGAGGGAGAGCAUGCAGUCUGAGUGU